RNAcentral lists this long non-coding RNA (203 nucleotides) under Paramuricea clavata. Lineage: Eukaryota; Metazoa; Cnidaria; Anthozoa; Malacalcyonacea; Plexauridae. The record is from RNAcentral.
AACCUUAAAGCCCAGGUCACACUACACAACGAUAACGAUACGAUAACUUGUAUACGCGCGCUGAUUGGUCAAAAAUUUAUCGUUAUCGUCCGGCUGAAAAAAAAAUCGCUCAGGUGAGCGAUUUUAAAAUCGUUAUCGUUAUCGUCUAACGAUAAUUUUAUCAUUUUCGUUGUUGUGUGGACACUAACACAAUUUUUUUGCCA